CCUACGGGAGGCAGCAGUGAGGAAUAUUGGUCAAUGGGCGCGAGCCUGAACCAGCCAAGUAGCGUGAAGGAUGACUGCCCUACGGGUUGUAAACUUCUUUUAUAAAGGAAUAAAGUGAGGCACGUGUGCCUUUUUGUAUGUACUUUAUAAAUAAGGCUCGGCUAACUCCGUGCCAGCAGCCGCGGUAAGACGGAGGAUCCGGGCGUUAGCCGGAUUUAUUGGGUUUAAAGGGAGCGUAGAUGGGUUGUUAAGUCAGUUGUGAAAGUUUGCGGCUCAACCGUAAAAUUGCAAUUGAUACUGGCAGUCUGGAGUACAGGAGAGGUAGGCGGAAUUCGUGGUGUAGCGGUGAAAUGCUUAGAGAUCACGAAGAACUCCGAUUGCGAAGGCAGCUUACUAGACCGCAACUGACAUUGAUGCGCGAAAGUGUGGGUAUCAAACAGGAUUAGAUACCCUUGUAGUC
Molecule: ribosomal RNA, 460 nt
Filed under: uncultured bacterium
Lineage: Bacteria
Description: partial 16S ribosomal RNA
Rfam family: Bacterial small subunit ribosomal RNA
Source: RNAcentral